This is a long non-coding RNA of Bubalus bubalis (water buffalo), 3010 nucleotides long. RefSeq lists it as uncharacterized. Lineage: Eukaryota; Metazoa; Chordata; Mammalia; Artiodactyla; Bovidae. The transcript is spliced from 2 exons. The record is from RefSeq and is a predicted model, not a curated record.
GAUCAAACGCACAUCUCCUGCACUGGCAAAUGGAUUCUUUACCACUGAGCCACCAUUGACUGAAUAAUAUUAAUUUUAGUUAAUUUAAAUGUAAAUAACCCUGUGUGGCUGGUGGCUUCUGUACUGGACAUCCAGGAACCUCUGCACCCUCUCUGGGCCAGUGAAGAAACAGAACCUCCUAUUGUCUGCUGGCACCUAAGCGGACCCUAGGAGAGAGGGGAAGGAGCCUGGAGGAUGAAGAGGCUGAGAAGGUGCCCCAGGUUCCCUAAAGGAGCCCAAAGCUGUGGCUGAUGCCUGACAUGCUUGGUGUGUUUUGUAAGUUAACUUGUUCCAUCCUCACAGCAUCAUUUGACAUGGGUCUGACUUGCCAUCAUCCCUAUUUUAUAGAGGGCAAGACUGGGACUCAGAGGGAUUAAAUCACUUGUCCAAGGUCACACAGCUGGUAAGUGAGAAGAGGUGGGUCUAUAAACUUGGGUCUGGUCCCUUCCCAGCGCCCAGGAUCUUCACCCCUAGACCACACAGUGUUUUGACCCUGAUCCUGGGGGCUGCUGCCCAGGUGAAGGCAGAUCCAGGACCCCAGCUGCCCCUGCGUACCUUGAGGCAGGGCUUUCGGCGCCAUCACCCCACAUCAGCCCUCCGGAGCCAAGGGCCUGGGACCUGGGUGUGGGAGUCAGGGCAGGGCAGCCAACGGGACACCCCAGAAGAGGGUUAAGGAGGAGUGGCUGCCAUCGGCUCCCCAUUGCUUAUCAACGGGUAACCAGACCUGUCGGGGCUCCAGUGCCUUUUCAAGCCCCCCACUAUUAAUUGAUCUGGGAAGGUGACUCUGUUAAUUGCAGACCUAGAGUAAACAGGGUUGGGGUGAAUGGGGCUGAUAGCAGAUAGCUUUCUGGCUGUGCUGCCCUUUGCCCUUUGUGGCAGGGGCAGUGGGAAGAGGCAGGGAGUGAAUUGGAAGGAAUUGUCCUAGGAAUGUCUUUGGAGUCGGGGAGGGAAGAUUGUUUUCUUGGGACCCCAAAGGAUCAAUCUAUAUGUCCUUCUGGAAAGAAACCCUUCUGCUGGGCUCCCCGUUUGCUGUACUCUGUCAAAAGGCUGGGGGCCAUCAAAGGGCUCUGAUGUUCAUCUCUUUCCAUCUCUCCCCUUGUCCGUCCAUCCAUUUUUUUUAUCCUUCUCUUUCAAUAUCUUUCCAUCCUUCCUUUCUUCAUUCAUCCACUCUCCCCAUUAUCCAUCCAUCUGUUUUUCUUUCCUUUCUCUCAUUUCAUUCAUCCAUUCUUCCCUUAUUCUGUCUGUUCAUCUGAAAGUCCCUUCUUCCCACCCCCGAUCCCUCACUCAUCUUCAUAUACUUCCUUCUUCCUAGGAAGUGAUCAUGUGUUUCUUGAGAAAUCUAGGGAGGAGGUUGGGGGCAGCCCUUUGAGCCCCUGGACUUCUGAGUCUGCCCGUGCGUGGCCCUGGUGGAGUUAGCUGCCUGACUUCAGCGUAACCAGUGGAGUUAUGCUGGUCACAGCUGAGUGUUAGAUGAGGUCUGUCUUUCCUUGAGGGAGGGCAGAAUCUCCUUCCUUCAGCCUAGGGACCACAUGACUGAUUCUGCAAGGGGGGACACUUGGAGAGUGAAAGGGGGUGCUGCUAACAGUCGCACUUGGGCAAUGGAGUAAGUAACCUGAAACUGACCUGGGCUAGCAGAACAUCUGGUCCACCUCCCUUAGUCCUAGCUGGAGGGCCUGUGACUCAAACAACCUUUCUCUCCCAAAGCUGAGCCUGGAUUUGGGGUUGAGUCUGUCAGUAGCAACUAAUAUCAGCAUGAACCUCUUGGUCAGAGUUUGGUGUCUGACUGCCUCUGGGAACCCGCACUCAUUGUGACAUGGAACAGUCCUGGCAGGUUUUCCAGAAGCUGUUACAUGUUAACAACACCGCGUGGUGGGCAGUGCAGAUAUUAUCAUACCCCUUUUACAAAUGAGAAAAAUGAGGCUGAGUUUGAAGGGGUUUUCUGAAGCCUCACAGAUGGAUAAAUAAAUCCCUCAACCCACUCCUGGUCAUUCUAAAUAAUGUCGGACCUAUAACCUGGUUUCUAACCCCAAACCUGUUCCCAUUUUAAAGAUAAGACACCUGAGGCUGGAGUGGGGAGGUGAGUUUCUCAUUAAUCCAUAGGCUGUGCGUUGGUGGAGACUUUGGCAGCUCAACCCCAGGGCAGGCAUGGCCCCCAAGAGGUUACAACAGCACGAUGUAACAGGGACUACCGUUGAUUAAGUCCCUAUUGAUUGCCAGGCCCUGUCCUGGGUGCUCUGCACAUUUCCCAGGGACCCAGCCAGUUUGGGUGGGCGAGCAAGAUGGCGGUCCCCUUUCCUUCCGCUCCCCGCCCUCCUGCAGAACUCUUGGGUUGAUCUGGGGGCAGGACGUGUCCUCUCAGGGCCCUGCCACCACCCAUUAAUCCCUAACUGCUGCAGCUGGGAGAUAAGAUAGCUCCAGCCCAUUAAUCAAGGCUGCCUGGCAGGGAGGGUGGGGGUGGGGUGAACACCACAACCUCACAGGUGGAGAUAAGCCCCCUCCUCCUGUCUUCCUCUGGGGCUGGGGCUAGUGGAGGAUGCUGGGAAGUUUCAAUCCCCAGUACCUGGGUGGGUGGGUGGAGCCUACAUGGGUACCUGGGUAGGGGGUGGGGGGCGGUGGCCCUGAAAGCCAGCCUGAGGGUGCACCUGGGUUGAGAGGAGCCAGGAGAUUGGGCUCCGGCCUCUGUGCUCCCUCUGCCGCGUCUGUCUUUAGAUAAGCAUCACAUCUCUCUGGGACUGUCUCUGCAUCUGAACGAAUGCGAGGGGGCUGGACUGGAUGACCUGGAGGGAGGGACCUUUCACCAUGAAUGUGCUGGGGUCUGGACCUUCCUCAAUGCAGAUUGUCUGUGACUACAGUGAUAAGGGAGGAGACUGGGGCAACUCAACCCCAAAGCAAAUGCUGGUCCAAGGAUGCUGAUUACAAAGUGUCUUAGUUGUGUUUUUAUUCUAAUAAACAUCAAACUUAAAGCAGCAAA